RNAcentral lists this ribosomal RNA (253 nucleotides) under uncultured bacterium. RNAcentral's name for it is "partial 16S ribosomal RNA". It matches the Rfam family "Bacterial small subunit ribosomal RNA", at positions 524 to 776 of the family's 1533-position model. The record is from RNAcentral.
GACAGAGGAUGCAAGCGUUAUCCGGAAUUAUUGGGCGUAAAGCGUCCGUAGGUGGUUUAGUAAGUCUGCUGUUAAAGCGCGGGGCUUAACUCCGUAUCGGCAGUGGAAACUACUAGACUAGAGUGUGGUAGGGGUAGAGGGAAUUCCCAGUGUAGCGGUGAAAUGCGUAGAUAUUGGGAAGAACACCGGUGGCGAAGGCGCUCUACUGGGCCAUAACUGACACUGAUGGACGAAAGCUAGGGGAGCGAAAGGG